RNAcentral lists this ribosomal RNA (252 nucleotides) under uncultured bacterium. Its description in RNAcentral is "partial 16S ribosomal RNA". It matches the Rfam family "Bacterial small subunit ribosomal RNA", at positions 525 to 776 of the family's 1533-position model. The record is from RNAcentral.
ACGUAGGGUGCAAGCGUUGUUCGGAAUCACUGGGCGUAAAGGGAGCGUAGGCGGCGCGGUAAGUCGGAUGUGAAAUCCCGAGGCUCAACCUCGGAACUGCAUCUGAUACUGCCGUGCUAGAGUAAUGGAGGGGUAGCUGGAAUUCUCGGUGUAGCAGUGAAAUGCGUAGAUAUCGAGAGGAACACUCGUGGCGAAAGCGAGCUACUGGACAUUUACUGACGCUGAGGCUCGAAGGCUAGGGGAGCGAAAGGG